UUAAGCGACUAAGCGUACACGGUGGAUGCCCUGGCAGUCAGAGGCGAUGAAGGACGUGCUAAUCUGCGAAAAGCGUCGGUAAGGUGAUAUGAACCGUUACAGCCGGCGAUGUCCGAAUGGGGAAACCCAGUGUGAUUCGUCACACUAUCGUUAACUGAAUACAUAGGUUAACGAGGCGAACCGGGGGAACUGAAACAUCUAAGUACCCCGAGGAAAAGAAAUCAACCGAGAUUCCCCCAGUAGCGGCGAGCGAACGGGGAGCAGCCCAGAGUCUGAAUCAGCUUGUGUGUUAGUGGAACGGUCUGGAAAGUCCGACGGUACAGGGUGAUAGUCCCGUACACCAAAAUGCACAGGCUGUGAACUCGAAGAGUAGGGCGGGACACGUGGUAUCCUGUCUGAAUAUGGGGGGACCAUCCUCCAAGGCUAAAUACUCCUGACUGACCGAUAGUGAACCAGUACCGUGAGGGAAAGGCGAAAAGAACCCCGGCGAGGGGAGUGAAAAAGAACCUGAAACCGUGUACGUACAAGCAGUGGGAGCACCUUCGGGUGUGACUGCGUACCUUUUGUAUAAUGGGUCAGCGACUUAUAUUCUGUAGCAAGGUUAACCGUAUAGGGGAGCCGCAGGGAAACCGAGUCUUAACUGGGCGUUAAGUUGCAGGGUAUAGACCCGAAACCCGGUGAUCUAGCCAUGGGCAGGUUGAAGGUUGGGUAACACUAACUGGAGGACCGAACCGACUAAUGUUGAAAAAUUAGCGGAUGACUUGUGGCUGGGGGUGAAAGGCCAAUCAAACCGGGAGAUAGCUGGUUCUCCCCGAAAGCUAUUUAGGUAGCGCCUCGUGAACUCAUCUUCGGGGGUAGAGCACUGUUUCGGCUAGGGGGUCAUCCCGACUUACCAACCCGAUGCAAACUACGAAUACCGAAGAAUGUUAUCACGGGAGACACACGGCGGGUGCUAACGUCCGUCGUGAAGAGGGAAACAACCCAGACCGCCAGCUAAGGUCCCAAAGUCAUGGUUAAGUGGGAAACGAUGUGGGAAGGCACAGACAGCCAGGAUGUUGGCUUAGAAGCAGCCAUCAUUUAAAGAAAGCGUAAUAGCUCACUGGUCGAGUCGGCCUGCGCGGAAGAUGUAACGGGGCUAAACCAUGCACCGAAGCUGCGGCAGCGACACUAUGUGUUGUUGGGUAGGGGAGCGUUCUGUAAGCCUGCGAAGGUGUGCUGUGAGGCAUGCUGGAGGUAUCAGAAGUGCGAAUGCUGACAUAAGUAACGAUAAAGCGGGUGAAAAGCCCGCUCGCCGGAAGACCAAGGGUUCCUGUCCAACGUUAAUCGGGGCAGGGUGAGUCGACCCCUAAGGCGAGGCCGAAAGGCGUAGUCGAUGGGAAACAGGUUAAUAUUCCUGUACUUGGUGUUACUGCGAAGGGGGGACGGAGAAGGCUAUGUUAGCCGGGCGACGGUUGUCCCGGUUUAAGCAUGUAGGCUGGUUAUCCAGGCAAAUCCGGAUAAUCAAGGCUGAGGUGUGAUGACGAGGCACUACGGUGCUGAAGUAACAAAUGCCCUGCUUCCAGGAAAAGCCUCUAAGCAUCAGGUAACAUCAAAUCGUACCCCAAACCGACACAGGUGGUCAGGUAGAGAAUACCAAGGCGCUUGAGAGAACUCGGGUGAAGGAACUAGGCAAAAUGGUGCCGUAACUUCGGGAGAAGGCACGCUGGUGUGUAGGUGAAGCCCCUGCGGGUGGAGCUGAGACCAGUCGAAGAUACCAGCUGGCUGCAACUGUUUAUUAAAAACACAGCACUGUGCAAACACGAAAGUGGACGUAUACGGUGUGACGCCUGCCCGGUGCCGGAAGGUUAAUUGAUGGGGUUAUCCGUAAGGAGAAGCUCUUGAUCGAAGCCCCGGUAAACGGCGGCCGUAACUAUAACGGUCCUAAGGUAGCGAAAUUCCUUGUCGGGUAAGUUCCGACCUGCACGAAUGGCGUAAUGAUGGCCAGGCUGUCUCCACCCGAGACUCAGUGAAAUUGAACUCGCUGUGAAGAUGCAGUGUACCCGCGGCAAGACGGAAAGACCCCGUGAACCUUUACUAUAGCUUGACACUGAACAUUGAGCCUUGAUGUGUAGGAUAGGUGGGAGGCUUUGAAGCGUGGACGCCAGUCUGCGUGGAGCCAACCUUGAAAUACCACCCUUUAAUGUUUGAUGUUCUAACGUUGGCCCCUGACCGGGGUUGCGGACAGUGUCUGGUGGGUAGUUUGACUGGGGCGGUCUCCUCCCAAAGCGUAACGGAGGAGCACGAAGGUUAGCUAAUCCUGGUCGGACAUCAGGAGGUUAGUGCAAUGGCAUAAGCUAGCUUGACUGCGAGCGUGACGGCGCGAGCAGGUGCGAAAGCAGGUCAUAGUGAUCCGGUGGUUCUGAAUGGAAGGGCCAUCGCUCAACGGAUAAAAGGUACUCCGGGGAUAACAGGCUGAUACCGCCCAAGAGUUCAUAUCGACGGCGGUGUUUGGCACCUCGAUGUCGGCUCAUCACAUCCUGGGGCUGAAGUAGGUCCCAAGGGUAUGGCUGUUCGCCAUUUAAAGUGGUACGCGAGCUGGGUUUAGAACGUCGUGAGACAGUUCGGUCCCUAUCUGCCGUGGGCGCUGGAGAAUUGAGGGGGGCUGCUCCUAGUACGAGAGGACCGGAGUGGACGCAUCACUGGUGUUCGGGUUGUCAUGCCAAUGGCACUGCCCGGUAGCUAAAUGCGGAAGAGAUAAGUGCUGAAAGCAUCUAAGCACGAAACUUGCCCCGAGAUGAGUUCUCCCUGAGACUUUAAGUCUCCUGAAGGAACGUUAAAGACGAUGACGUUGAUAGGCCGGGUGUGUAAGCGCAGCGAUGCGUUGAGCUAACCGGUACUAAUGAACCGUGAGGCUUAACCUU
RNAcentral lists this ribosomal RNA (2900 nucleotides) under Klebsiella pneumoniae. RNAcentral describes it as "bacterial LSU rRNA". It matches the Rfam family "Bacterial large subunit ribosomal RNA". The record is from RNAcentral. Lineage: Bacteria; Pseudomonadati; Pseudomonadota; Gammaproteobacteria; Enterobacterales; Enterobacteriaceae.